This is a long non-coding RNA of Peromyscus eremicus (cactus mouse), 2213 nucleotides long. RefSeq lists it as uncharacterized. NCBI's taxonomy places the organism in Eukaryota, Metazoa, Chordata, Mammalia, Rodentia, Cricetidae. The transcript has 4 exons. The record is from RefSeq and is a predicted model, not a curated record.
AACAUGGGAGCCUAAGGGUGGGAGUCUAGGUCCUCAGUGCUCAAGCUGAUGAAAUCCAGCCGUGCACAAACUAACACGUGGCAGCUUGGUUGCCUUCCUCGGUGCUUGGCUAAAAGAUCCAUGGCUUGACACAUGAGGAGAUGGACGUAGCAAUGUCCGUUAGAAUCAGUAUCCAUGGUAAUAAGGAGAGCGAUACUAAAAUGUCCGCUCUCCCGCGGAGCUAGAGACCCAACCCGGGACCUUGUGCUUGCUAGCCAAGGCAUCUACCACCCAACUAGAUCUUCAACCUCCUCAAACAUCUAGGAGGCAACUUGAAGAAUGAAGAGGUUCCAGAGCCCCCGAGGAGAAGGAGUGUUCAAAAGGCAUGAAUUAAUGCAUGCGCCUUAGUUCCUGGAGUUCAACGUCGACCAGCAGGGGUUGCUAGAGAACGGGUCCAGGUUUUCUGUCUCUGCCGAGGCAACUUGAGUGAAAUACAAGUCCCCUGUGACAAGAUGCUUGGAUCAUUGGAACACUCCAUGCAGAACCCUCCACCAAUUUGCGACCUUUCUCCCGGAUGAAGGAGGAUUCUGGGCCAGAAAUGAUUCGAGGCUCAUAGCAGUCAGGAUUUCCCACACCCUUCCUUCUCUCUGCAGCUGGCACAGGAAAGGCAUGGACACAUUGAGAGGAGUCUAAGGUUGGCAAAUAAGGAAGCCCGCUGUGUGCCAGCUUGAUCAGACAGCAGCGAUUCCUUGGAGUGUUGCUCGGAAGAAUUCUGAAGCGAGAGCCAGACUUAAAAUAUGACUGAUUGCUGAUGUCCGCCACAAGUGUGGGAGCAAGCGCAUUUGUUCUGUGCCUUGGGUUUGUAAAUCAGUCCAUUAUUAUUUAAUUUUGCCCAGGACCCAAAUAUCAGUAUCUUUAUCAUUGCUAAGUGCUCUUCAGUAUGCAAGAGCACUCUUUAAAGUGCUCUUUACUCAGCAAGAAGGAAAGAAUAUGUAGGCUCACAAGGUUUAUAUCACUGCUAACUUCAGAUUCAUAGGUGCAUAUGGAUAGGGGUGUGGUCCAGUGCAUAAGGAGGCAUUGUACUGCAACUGCAGUUAAGAGGUAGAUGCCUGUCACAUGUUCCAGCUGCCUUAUGUGUAUGUGCAUACCCUGUGUGGUAAGGAAGCCCUAUUCCCUUGAAAGGGAUUAUUUCUAGCGUUAACUAUUUAUUAAACAACAUCACCCCAGAACAGCAGCCCCCAAAAGCUACUGUGUCAGAAACUUAGAUGCUCACCCCAAAUGUAAUAUAAACAUGUCCUGUUUUUGCAGAAUGCUAAGCCAUGUGUACAAAGACACAGGAGAGCCCCAUAGUACAUAAGCAGUAUUCUUUUUGUUUCUCUGUGUAGCUUUGUGCCUGUCCUGGAACUCACUCUAUAGCCCAGGCUGGCCUCGAACUCAUAGAGAUCCGCCUGCCUCUGCCUCCCGAGUGCUGGGAUUAAAUGCGUGUGUCGCCACCACCGCCCAGCUAGGCAUUACUCUUUACACAUCUAGUACACAUCAGAUUGUUUUGAAUAUCAUCUGGGCUUAGUGCUAAUUAUGAUUAAAUGUGAAUCUGGGAGAAAGUGAUGAGUAACAUCAGGGUGACUGAAUCUCCAAGAAACCACUACCAUGAAUUCCACUCAGGGGUUACCCACGCCAAAAGAGAUGAUAUAAUUAAAAUGUAGUACCUCAGAGCUGUUAGCAUUUGGUAGCUUCUGGGAAAGGGAAGAGUCACUUUUCUUUAAUUUUGUGACUCCUGGUAGGUUGACCACACAUCGGGACAGACCUCACUCUCGAGAAUAACUAACUAUAGGAACUGGGCUUAUGGGAGAGGAGUAAAGAAGAAGAAAUCUUAAAAGGGAUGGAAAAGUGGAGAGGGAGUGCAAAUGAGAAGGUCUGGGGGAGUAGAUGUAUUCAAAAUACAUCGUACAAAAUUCUGAAAGAAUUAACAAAAAGUCUUGCAAAAAGUCGCCGCAUCCUGACUCAGAGUCUUUAGAUCAUAACGCUUUAUGUCUUUGGUUGUCUGAUUACACUGUAUAAAAUUGACUUUACCUCACAAAAAGCCAUGUUUUUAAAACAACAAAAAUUGUUUAAACUAUAUUUUAGUUCUUUUAAUAGCAAAUGAGAAAGGAUAGCUGAACACUUUUCAACAAGAAGGUGUCUAAUUUAGUUAUGUAUUGCAAUAAAAAGUUACACUGUGUUGGUGUUCAAGCCUC